RNAcentral lists this ribosomal RNA (472 nucleotides) under uncultured bacterium. RNAcentral describes it as "partial 16S ribosomal RNA". It matches the Rfam family "Bacterial small subunit ribosomal RNA", at positions 28 to 507 of the family's 1533-position model. The record is from RNAcentral.
GACGAACGCUGGCGGCGUGCUUAACACAUGCAAGUCGAACGCUGAAGCUUGGUGCUUGCACUGGGUGGAUGAGUGGCGAACGGGUGAGUAAUACGUGAGUAACCUGCCCUUGACUCUGGGAUAAGCCUGGGAAACUGGGUCUAAUACUGGAUACGACAUGUCACCGCAUGGUGGUGUGUGGAAAGGGUUUUACUGGUUUUGGAUGGGCUCACGGCCUAUCAGCUUGUUGGUGGGGUAAUGGCUCACCAAGGCGACGACGGGUAGCCGGCCUGAGAGGGUGACCGGCCACACUGGGACUGAGACACGGCCCAGACUCCUACGGUAGGCAGCAGUGGGGAAUAUUGCACAAUGGGCGGAAGCCUGAUGCAGCGACGCCGCGUGAGGGAUGACGGCCUUCGGGUUGUAAACCUCUUUCAGCACGGAAGAAGCGAAAGUGACGGUACGUGCAGAAGAAGCGCCGGCUAACUACGUG